Long non-coding RNA from Saccostrea cuccullata (small rock oyster), 2278 nucleotides. RefSeq lists it as uncharacterized. The transcript has 10 exons. The record is from RefSeq and is a predicted model, not a curated record. NCBI's taxonomy places the organism in Eukaryota, Metazoa, Mollusca, Bivalvia, Ostreida, Ostreidae.
AGGGACAAGCAGUAUAAUUAAUCUUACAGAUGUAGGGACAAGCAGUAUAAUUAAUCUUGAAGAUGCAGGGACGUGAAGCAGUAAUUAGUUUUACAGUUGCAGGGACAAGUAGUAAUCAAUCUUACAGAAGCAGAGACCAAUCUUAUAGAAGUAUGGACAAGCUGUAGCCAACUCUACAGAUGCAGGGACAAGCAGUAUUUACUUUUUCAGAAGCAGUAGCCAAUCUUACAGAAGCAAGGACAAGCAGCACCCAUUUUUACUGUUGCAGGGACAAGCAGUUUUUAAUUUUACAGUGGCAAGGACAAGCAGUAGCCAAUCUUAUAGAAGCAGGGACAAGCAGUAUUUACCUAACAGAAGCAGAAGCCAAUCAAACAGAAGCAGGGACAAGCAGUAGCCAACCUUACAGAAGCAGCAACCAAUACUAAUUAAGCAGAGCAUUAGAGUGGCCACCAUCACCAGUUUAACACUGACUGAUUAGUCAAAGAGUCCAGACCAGAAGGAUCCACCAUGACAACUAAUCAUAUGUUGGGUAGGGGGAAAAGAUGGAUUCCUAGACCUGCAGCAAAGAAGAGACCACAAAACUGAGUUCUACCUUGAAAGAUGUGAUGUAAUUUAAACAGAAUGGAGCCAAUGGUACUCAGGGAGCCCAAGAUAAGGUUGUUAUUUGAUCUUCUAAUUAAGCCAGACAUAAGGUGAGAUGUAUUGGUUCUUUUGCACAUAUUUUUGUUUGCUGUUCUCUCCCCUUCCCUUUCAUACUUACAUUACUAACAGAACUCACCUUUUUGCCCUUUUCAUUUAUGAUUGUUUGUACCUUUUCCAAAUGUGUUAUUGUUACAUGUCUUUGUGUGAGAAUGAUGUAUCAAAAGGAUCCCUUUCAAUAUAUUGGAACUAAAGUAAUCUUGUGUCAGUUUCUACCAUUCUCAAGGGCACUAGGGAUAGACAGAAGGCAGCAGAUACCACAUUGAGGGAACCAUUGCCAGGAUACAGGGUAUCCACUAUAACAAUGGGCCAACUUAAUUUGGCCAAAGUGAAUUACAGUUUGUCCAAAUCCCAAUACAAAGAAUGCACUCUGACAACACUGUUUGAAAAGAAGGGUCCAGGAAGUUGAGAUUGACUGAAUUAAGCUAAUGACUGAAUAGAGGAUGCAGGUAUAGAUAGAUGUCAAAUUACAGAUGACAAUACAAUGUCAUUGAGACCAUAACCAGGAGGUGGGGUUUCCACUAUGUCAACCAGCCAACAUUUACCAAAAUGGUAGGAAACAAGCUUCACAUGGAGGACCACACAAAGGAAAAAAAAACACUUGGUGAAGAAGAAAACCAUACAAUUGAAGAAAAGAGGACCACACAAGGAAGAGGACCACACAAUUGAAGAAAAGAGGACCACACAAGGAAGAGGAACACACAAUUGAAGAGAAGAGGAACACACAAGGAAGAGGACCACACAGUUGAAGAGAAGAGGACCACACAAGGAAGAAGAGGAGGACCAAACAAGGAAGAAGAGGACCACACAAGGAAGAGAGGACCAUUGCCAAGAUACUGGGUAUCCACUAGAAAAACAGGCCAACAUUGGCCAAAGUGUUAGCCCAAAUCCCAAUACAAAGAAUGCAAGCUGACAACACUACUUGUGAGAAGAGUCUGGAGGGAGUUGUGAUCACCUGAAGCCAACCACUGAAUAGAGGAUGGAGGUAUAGAUAGAUGCAAAAUUACAGACGACAACAAAUGACAAUUUGUUCAUAAUCAGGAUGCUGGGUUUCCCUUAUGUUGACAAUCCAACAUGGACCAAAAUGGUAAAACACACACUGCAUGUGGAGGACCACAUAUUUAAGAAGAGGACCAUAUGGUAAAGAAGAGGACCACACAAAGAAGAGGACUACAUGGUGAAGAGGAGGACCACGUGGUGAAGAAGAGGAGGACCACAUGAAGAGGAACCAUUGCCAGGAUACAGGGUAUCCACCUAAUCAACACUGACCAAAGUGAAUAAUGGUUACACAAGCUUUGAUUUCAUGAUCGAUAACAUUCCAAUCACUCGCAAGGAGGAGUCCACGAAACCAAGAUCCACUGCAGACAGCCAUAGAAGAAAGGAUGACAGCAGGAAUGGACAGAUGCCAAACUGAGGACAACCAUUCAAUAAAGACUAGGAUCAAAGAAGAAGAAACCAACAGGCUAACAUUGGCCAACAUGAAUAAUGGUUAGGCAAUCUUUGAUUUUGUGGCAGGGAACACAUCUAUCACUCUUUAGGAGGAGUGCAACCAAGAAAGAUCCACUGCAGUCAGCCAUUG